This 321-nucleotide ribosomal RNA is filed under the name Triticum aestivum (bread wheat). Its description in RNAcentral is "partial small subunit ribosomal RNA". Lineage: Eukaryota; Viridiplantae; Streptophyta; Magnoliopsida; Poales; Poaceae. The record is from RNAcentral.
AUGAUUGAUGGCAAGGCUAGAGCAGUCUUUGCUAGCACGGUGGUCGUCACUAUGGUUGUAGAAGAUAGAGUGCUCUUCUGCACCAAUCGGUGGCUUCAGGGCUUUGCUAUUGGUGAUAUCGCACCAACGCUUGUGGUUGAAGUGGACACGCACAUAAAAAAUUGUAGGACUGUGCAACAAGCGCUGCUGGAUGAUGCAUGGUUGCAUGAUAUCAGGGAGACAUAUCCUUCACAGCUCAAAUACAACUCAUGCGCCCGCAGCAUGUCAUUGCCAAUGUGCCUAGAAACACAAGGGAGGUGGACAGUUUCAGCUGGCAUGUGA